GUGCUCGUUUCAGCAGCACGUAUAUUAAAAUUGGAGCGAUAUGGAGAAGAUUAUCAUGGCCCCGCACAAGGAUGACAUGCAAAUUUGUGAAGUGUUCCAUAUUAAA
Molecule: small nuclear RNA, 106 nt
Organism: Myotis lucifugus (little brown bat)
Lineage: Eukaryota; Metazoa; Chordata; Mammalia; Chiroptera; Vespertilionidae
Source: Ensembl